GGCAGGCUUAACACAUGCAAGUCGAGCGGAGAGAGGUAGCUUGCUACUGAUACUUAGCGGCGGACGGGUGAGUAAUGCUUAGGAAUCUGCCUAUUAGUGGGGGACAACAUYUCGAAAGGAAUGCUAAUACCGCAUACGUCCUACGGGAGAAAGCAGGGGAUCUUCGGACCUUGCGCUAAUAGAUGAGCCUAAGUCGGAUUAGCUAGUUGGUGGGGUAAAGGCCUACCAAGGCGACGAUCUGUAGCGGGUCUGAGAGGAUGAUCCGCCACACUGGGACUGAGACACGGCCCAGACUCCUACGGGAGGCAGCAGUGGGGAAUAUUGGACAAUGGGCGCAASCCUGAUCCAGCCAUGCCGCGUGUGUGAAGAAGGCCUUAUGGUUGUAAAGCACUUUAAGCGAGGAGGAGGCUACUUUAGUUAAUACCUAGAGAUAGUGGACGUUACUCGCAGAAUAAGCACCGGCUAACUCUGUGCCAGCAGCCGCGGUAAUACAGAGGGUGCAAGCGUUAAUCGGAUUUACUGGGCGUAAAGCGCGCGUAGGCGGCUAAUUAAGUCAAAUGUGAAAUCCCCGAGCUUAACUUGRGAAUUGCAUUCGAUACUGGUUAGCUAGAGUGUGGGAGAGGAUGGUAGAAUUCCAGGUGUAGCGGUGAAAUGCGUAGAGAUCUGGAGGAAUACCGAUGGCGAARGCAGCCAUCUGGCCUAACACUGACGCUGAGGUGCGAAAGCAUGGGGAGCAAACAGGAUUAGAUACCCUGGUAGUCCAUGCCGUAAACGAUGUCUACUAGCCGUUGGGGCCUUUGAGGCUUUAGUGGCGCAGCUAACGCGAUAAGUAGACCGUCCUGGGGAGUA
Molecule: ribosomal RNA, 849 nt
Filed under: Acinetobacter calcoaceticus
Lineage: Bacteria; Pseudomonadati; Pseudomonadota; Gammaproteobacteria; Moraxellales; Moraxellaceae
Description: bacterial SSU rRNA
Rfam family: Bacterial small subunit ribosomal RNA
Source: RNAcentral